RNAcentral lists this transfer RNA (73 nucleotides) under Negombata magnifica. Its description in RNAcentral is "transfer RNA-Lys (UUU)". It matches the Rfam family "tRNA". Rfam says of the family: Transfer RNA (tRNA) molecules are approximately 80 nucleotides in length. Their secondary structure includes four short double-helical elements and three loops (D, anti-codon, and T loops). Lineage: Eukaryota; Metazoa; Porifera; Demospongiae; Poecilosclerida; Latrunculiidae. The record is from RNAcentral.
AGGUACAUAGCUCAUUUGGAAGAGCAAUAGGCUUUUAACCUAGUGGUGAUUGGUUCAAGUCCAAUUGUACUUA